UCUACGGGCGGCAGCAGUGGGGAAUCUUCCGCAAUGGGCGAAAGCCUGACGGAGCAACGCCGCGUGAUCGAAUGAAGGCCUUCGGGUUGUAAAGCUCUGUUGACAGGGACGAAUAAGCAAUGCGAAUAGUUUUGUGUAUGACGGUACCUGUUUAGCAAGCCCCGGCGAACUAAGUGCCAGCAGCCGCGAUAAUACGGUGGGAGCAAGCGUUUUCCGGAAUUACUGGGCGUAAAGGGCGAGAUGGUGGGCGCGUAAGUCAGGUGUGAAAACUCCGGUCUCAACCUGGAGACUGCACUUGAAACGGGGUGUCUUGAGGGCAGGAGAGGAAAGUGGAAUU
Molecule: ribosomal RNA, 337 nt
Filed under: uncultured bacterium
Lineage: Bacteria
Description: partial 16S ribosomal RNA
Rfam family: Bacterial small subunit ribosomal RNA
Source: RNAcentral